This 445-nucleotide ribosomal RNA is filed under the name uncultured bacterium. RNAcentral's name for it is "bacterial SSU rRNA". It matches the Rfam family "Bacterial small subunit ribosomal RNA", at positions 354 to 796 of the family's 1533-position model. The record is from RNAcentral.
GUAAGGAAUAUUGGUCAAUGGACGAAAGUCUGAACCAGCCAUGCCGCGUGAAGGAUGAAGGCCCUCUGGGUUGUAAACUUCUUUUAUCUGGGACGAAAAAAGGGUAUUCUUACUCACUUGACGGUACCAGAGGAAUAAGCACCGGCUAACUCCGUGCCAGCAGCCGCGGUAAUACGGAGGGUGCAAGCGUUAUCCGGAUUCACUGGGUUUAAAGGGUGCGUAGGUGGGUAUUUAAGUCAGUGGUGAAAUCUCCGAGCUUAACUCGGAAACUGCCAUUGAUACUAUUUACCUUGAGUGCCCUGGAGGUAAGCGGAAUAUGUCAUGUAGCGGUGAAAUGCUUAGAUAUGACAUAGAACACCAAUUGCGAAGGCAGCUUACUACGGGGUGAUUGACACUGAGGCACGAAAGCGUGGGGAGCAAACAGGAUUAGAAACCCUGGUAGUCC